This 490-nucleotide ribosomal RNA is filed under the name uncultured bacterium. RNAcentral describes it as "partial 16S ribosomal RNA". It matches the Rfam family "Bacterial small subunit ribosomal RNA", at positions 30 to 507 of the family's 1533-position model. The record is from RNAcentral.
AUUGAACGCUGGCGGCAGGCCUAACACAUGCAAGUCGAACGGUAACAGGAAGACGCUUGCUUCUUUGCUGACGAGUGGCGGACGGGUGAGUAAUGUCUGGGAAACUGCCUGAUGGAGGGGGAUAACUACUGGAAACGGUAGCUAAUACCUCAUAAUGUCGCAAGACCAAAGAGGGGGACCUUCGGGCCUCUUGCCAUCGGAUGUGCCCAGAUGGGAUUAGCUAGUAGGUGGGGUUACGGCUCACCUAGGCGACGAUCCCUAGCUGGUCUGAGAGGAUGACCAGCCACACUAGAACUGAGACACGGUCCAGACUCCUACGGGAGGCAGCAGUGGGGAAUAUUGCACAAUGGGCGCAAGCCUGAUGCAGCUAUGCCGCGUGUAUGAAGAAGGCCUUCGGGUUGUAAAGUACUUUCAGCGGGGAGGAAGGGAGUAAAGUUAAUACCUUUGCUCAUUGACGUUACCCGCAGAAGAAGCACCGGCUAACUCCGUG